GUGAGGAAUAUUGAGCAAUGGGCGAAAGCCUGACUCAGCAACGCCGCGUGGGCGAUGAAGGCCUUCGGGUCGUAAAGCCCUUUUCUGAGGGAUGAGGAAGGACGGUACCUCAGGAAUAAGUCACGGCUAACUACGUGCCAGCAGCCGCGGUAAUACGUAGGUGGCCAGCGUUAUCCGGAAUCAUUGGGCGUAAAGCGCGUGCAGGUGGGUUCGUAAGUCGGACGUGAAAUCUCCUGGCUUAACUGGGAGGGGCCGUCCGGAACUGCGGGCCUUGAGGUCGGGAGAGGGACGUGGAAUUCCCGGUGUAGUGGUGGAAUGCGUAGAUAUCGGGAGGAACACCAGUGGCGAAGGCGGCGUCCUGGCCCGCACCUGACACUCAGACGCGAAAGCGUGGGGAGCGAACGGGAUUAGAAACCCGAGUAGUCC
This 426-nucleotide ribosomal RNA is filed under the name uncultured bacterium. RNAcentral describes it as "bacterial SSU rRNA". It matches the Rfam family "Bacterial small subunit ribosomal RNA", at positions 354 to 796 of the family's 1533-position model. The record is from RNAcentral.